Molecule: ribosomal RNA, 549 nt
Filed under: uncultured bacterium
Lineage: Bacteria
Description: partial 16S ribosomal RNA
Rfam family: Bacterial small subunit ribosomal RNA
Source: RNAcentral
UGGGGAAUUUUGGACAAUGGGCGAAAGCCUGAUCCAGCAAUGCCGCGUGUGUGAAGAAGGCCUUCGGGUUGUAAAGCACUUUUGUCCGGAAAGAAAUCCUUGGCUCUAAUACAGUCGGGGGAUGACGGUACCGGAAGAAUAAGCACCGGCUAACUACGUGCCAGCAGCCGCGGUAAUACGUAGGGUGCAAGCGUUAAUCGGAAUUACUGGGCGUAAAGCGUGCGCAGGCGGUUUGCUAAGACCGAUGUGAAAUCCCCGGGCUCAACCUGGGAACUGCAUUGGUGACUGGCAGGCUAGAGUAUGGCAGAGGGGGGUAGAAUUCCACGUGUAGCAGUGAAAUGCGUAGAGAUGUGGAGGAAUACCGAUGGCGAAGGCAGCCCCCUGGGCCAAUACUGACGCUCAUGCACGAAAGCGUGGGGAGCAAACAGGAUUAGAUACCCUGGUAGUCCACGCCCUAAAACGAUGUCAACUAGUUGUUGGGGGAUUCAUUUCCUUAGUAACGUAGCUAACGCGUGAAGUUGACCGCCUGGGGAGUACGGUCGCAAGAUU